RNAcentral lists this ribosomal RNA (492 nucleotides) under uncultured bacterium. RNAcentral's name for it is "partial 16S ribosomal RNA". It matches the Rfam family "Bacterial small subunit ribosomal RNA", at positions 29 to 507 of the family's 1533-position model. The record is from RNAcentral.
AGUGAACGCUGGCGGUAGGCCUAACACAUGCAAGUCGAACGGCAGCACAGUAAGAGCUUGCUCUUACGGGUGGCGAGUGGUGGACGGGUGAGGAAUACAUCGGAAUCUACUUUUUCGUGGGGGAUAACGUAGGGAAACUUACGCUAAUACCGCAUACGACCUACGGGUGAAAGCAGGGGAUCUUCGGACCUUGCGCGAUUGAAUGAGCCGAUGUCGGAUUAGCUAGUUGGCGGGGUAAAGGCCCACCAAGGCGACGAUCCGUAGCUGGUCUGAGAGGAUGGUCAGCCACACGGGAACUGAGACACGGUCCAGACUCCUACGGGAGGCAGCAGUGGGGAAUAUUGGACAAUGGGCGCAAGCCUGAUCCAGCCAUACCGCGUGGGUGAAGAAGGCCUUCGGGUUGUAAAGCCCUUUUGUUGGGAAAGAAAAGCAGCAGGUUAAUACCCCGCUGUUCUGACGGUACCCAAAGAAUAAGCACCGGCUAACUUCGUG